This is a long non-coding RNA of Dama dama (fallow deer), 5848 nucleotides long. RefSeq lists it as uncharacterized. The transcript is spliced from 3 exons. Lineage: Eukaryota; Metazoa; Chordata; Mammalia; Artiodactyla; Cervidae. The record is from RefSeq and is a predicted model, not a curated record.
ACAAACUGCUUUCUCAAUUUUGAACCAGUCCAUUGUUCCAUGUACAGUUCUAACUGGUUUCUUGAUCUGCAUACAGGUUUCUCAGGAGGCAGGUAAGGUGGUCUGGUAUUCCCGUCUCUUUCAGAAUCUUCCAGUUUGUUGUGAUCCACAUAGUCAAAGGCUUUAGUGUAGUCAAUAAAGCAGAAGUAGAUGUUUUUCUGGAACUCUUUUGCUUUUUCUAUGAUCUAACAGAUGUUGGCAAUUUGAUCUCUGCUUCCUCUGCCUUUUCUAAAUCCAGCUGGAACUGGAAGUUCUUGGUUCACAUACUGUUGAAGUCUAGCUUGAAGGAUUUUGAGCAUUACCUUGCUAGCAUGUGAAAUGAGCUCAAUUGUCAGAUAGUUUGAACAUUCUUUGGCAUUGCCCUCCUUUGGGACUGGAAUGAAAACUGAGCUUUUCUAGUCCUGUGGUCACUGUUGAGUUUUCCAUAUUUGCUGACAUAGUGAGUGCAGCACUUUAACAGCAUCAUCUUUUUGGAUUUGAAAUAGCUCAAGUCAAAUUCCAUCACCUCCACUAGCUUUGUUCAUAGAGAUGCUUCGUCACCUCCACUAGCUUUGUUGGUAGUAAUGCUUCCUAAGGCCCAUUUGACUUCCACUCCAGGAUGUCUGGCUCUAGGUGAGUGACCAAACCAUCAUAGUUAUCUGGGUAAUUAAGACCUUUUUGUAGUUUUUCUUGUAUUCUUGCUACCUCUUCUUAAUCUCUUAUGGUUCUGUUAGAUCCAUACUGCUUGUCCUUUGUUGCGCCCAUGCUUGCAUGAAAUGUUCCCUUGGAAUCUCUGAUUUUCUUGAAGAGAUCUCUAGUCUUUGCAUUGUUCACUUAAAAAGCCUUUUUUUUUUUUAAUCUAUUCUUGCUAUUCUCUGGAACUCUGCAUUCAGUUGGGUAUAUCUUUCCCUUUCUCCUGUGCCUUUCAUUUCUCUUUUCUCAGCUGUUGGUAAGGCCUCCUCACACAACCACUUUGCCUUCUUGCAUUUCUUUUUAUUGGGGAUGGUUUGAUCACUGCCUCCUGUAUACAGGAACUAAGAACCUCUGUCCAUAGUUCAGGCACUCUGUCUACCAGAUCUAAUCCCUUGAAAUCUAUUUGUCACCUCCACUGUAUAAGGGAUUUGAUUUAGGUCAUAUCUAAAUGCCCUAGUGGUUUUCCUUACUUUCUUCAAUUUAAAUAAAAUGACUCAGUUAUAUGCAUACAUACAUUUUUUUUUUUGUAUUCUUUUCCAUUAUUAUCACAGGAUAUUGAAUAUAGUUCCCUGUGUUAUACAUUAGGACAUUGUUCUUUUAUUUUAAACAUAAUAGCUUGCAUGUACCAACCCCAAACUCCCAGUCCAUCCCUCCCAUCUGCCAACACUUGGCAACCACAAGUCUGUUCUCUAUGUCCAAGUCUGUUCUGUUUUGUAGGUAGAUUUGUGUCAUAUUUUAAGACUCCACAUAUAAGUGAUAUCAUAUGGUAUUUGUUUUUCUGACUUACUUCAUUUAAUAUUGAUAAUCUCCAUUUGCAUCCAUGUUGUUGUAAAUGGCAUUAUUUCAUUCUUUGUUAUGGCCAAGUAGUAUUUCAUUAUAUAUGUAUGUGUGCCACAUCUUCUUUACCCAUUCAUCUGCUGAUGGACAUUUAUGUUAUUUCCAUGUUUUAGCUAUUGUGAAUAGUGCUGUUAUGAACAUAGGAGUGCACAUAUCUUUGUGAAUUAUAGUUUUGUCCAGGAUUAUAUUCCCAGGAGUGAGACUGCUGAAUCAUAUGGUAAUUCUGUUUUUAGCUUUCUGAGGAACCUCCAUACCGUCUUCCAUGGUGGCUGCACCAACUUGCAUUCCCACCAGCAGUGUAGGAGGGUUCCCUUUUCUCCAUACCCUCUCCAAGCAUUUAUUUGUAGACUUCGAAAUGAUGGUCAUCCUGACCCUAAGUCAAUUUAAAUAUAAAGUUAACUAGAAAAAGAGACCACUUCCUUUUGUCUUUCAUGUACUUAUAAAAUUUCUGAAUGUUAACUAUUUAGAGUAUGACUUCUCCAUUUCUAAGCAGACAGCGACAUUGCUUUUUCUCCUAUCAUAACAUCUUAAUUAGCCUUGUCUUUGCAUAAAGGUCUCUCCUGAAGGCCUGAGUGCCAGCCACUUUGACAGAUAUAGUUCUAUGAAUUGAAUGUCUCCCACAAAAUCAAAUGCUGAAGCCCUAAUCCCCAAUGUAAUGGUAUGUUUUAAAACCUUUUAUUUUAUAUUGGAGUAUAGUUAAUACUGUUAAGUUUCAGGUGUACACCAAAUAAUUCAGUCAUACAUUAUAUAUAUAUAUAUAUAUAUUUUUCAAAUUCAUAUAUAUAUAUAUGUAUAUAUAUAUAUAUUCUUUUUCAAAUUCUUUUCCCAUUUAGGUUGCUAUAGCAGAGUUCCCUGUGCUAUAUAUAGUAGGUCUUGUUGGUUGUCUGUUAUAUAAUUUUUAAAACUUAAAAAAAGUUUAUUGUACUAUAAUUGCUUUACUGUGUUAGUGUCCGCUGUGCAGCAAAGUGAAUCAGUUUCCAUGUAUACGUAUGUCCACUUCCUUUUAGACUUCUUUCCCGUUUAGGUCACCACAGAGCACUGAGUCGAGUCCCUUGUGCUAUACAGUAGACUCUCAUUAGUUAUCUGUUUCAUUCGUAGUGGUCUGUAUCUGUGAUCCUGUUUCUCCUUUGCAAAUAAGUUCUUCUGUACCAUUUUUCUAGAUUCCAUAUAUAUAAGGCAAUAUUGUACCAUAUUUUUCUCCUACUUCACUGUAUGAGUUCCGUUUUCUCCACACUGUCUCCAACAUUUAGACUUUUUGAUGAUGGCCAUUCUAACUGGUGUGAGGCGAUAUCUCAUUGUAGUUUUGAUUUGCAUUUCUCUAACAAUAAUGAUGUUGAGUAUCUUUUCAUGUGCAUGUUUUCUUUGAAGAAAUAUUUAUCUAUUUAGGUCUUCUGUCCACUUUUUGAUUGGGCUUUGAUGUUGAGCUGCAAGAGCUGUUUAUAAAAUUUGGAAAUUAAUCCCUUGUCAGUCGCAUCAUUUGUAAAUAUUUUCUCCCAUUCUGUGGGUUAUCUUUUCUUUUUAAAAAUCAUUUGCUUUGCUGCGCAUAAAGGCUUUUGAGUUUAACUAGGUCCCAUUUGUUAACUUCAUUUUUAUUUCCAUUGCUCUGGGAGAAGAACUGAAAAAGGUAUUGUGUGAUUUAUGUCAAAAAGCGUUCUGCCUAUGUUUUCCUCUAGGAGUUUUAUAGUAUCAGGUUUUACAUUUAGGUCUUGAGUCCAUUCUGAGUUUAUUUUUGUGUAUGGUGUUGAAGAAUGUUCUAAUUUGAUUCUUUUACAUAUAGCUGUUCAAUUUUCCCAGCACAGUUUAUGUUUUUUCCCCAGUGUUAUGGCAUUUGGAGGUAGGUUUUUGGGAGAGAACUGGGUUUGGAUGAUGUCAUGGGGUUGAGCCCCAUGAUGGGAUUAUUGCCUUUAAAGGGGGAUGAAGGGACCAGAGUUUGCUCUCUGCUCCCCAUAUGAGGAUACAUGGCUCUCUGCAAAUCAGGAAGAAAGUUCUCACCAGACACUAGCUCUGUUGGUCACUUGAUCUUAGAAUUCCCAGCAUUCAGAAUUGUGAGAAAUACCUGUUUGUUGUAUAAGCUACCCAGCCUAUGGUAAUUUAUUACACCAGCUCAAACAUACUUUAUAUACCCCAGGAAUAUGUCAAUCAUCUACAUCACCUACAGUUAUUUUUCUGGACCUUUGCUUUGGUUUGAUGGACUGGCUCAUGGUGGGUGGCGGUGCAGAAAGAAACAGUUCUGUAAAUCUUAUUUUAUCCAUUAUCAGGAUGCUGUCUGUAACACUGAAGAUUCCUCUUGGUGAGGCUCAUUAAGAGGAAAAGCUCUCUGGCCUUUAUAAUAGAACAACUGUUUCCUCUGGAGAGACUGGUUUGCUUUUUAUCUUAUGGCUGUCCUGAGAUACAUGACUGAUCAGUGUUCAUUUUUAGUGCUGCAUUUCACACAGAGAGGAAGAAUGUUGGCACCCAGUUACAAGCAGUCAAAACUUUUUGACUGGAGAAUUUGGUUUUAUAUAUUCCAGAGGACCCCUUCUGGGAGGCAAAAUUAGGAUAUUGUUGCUGCUCAAAUGUGUAUAGAAGAAUCUGUUCAACACAAGAGCCAAAGACCACUGUGUAAAUAUGAACCCAAGUGAUCAUCUGUUAAGAAUAGUACCUGAGAUGGAGACAUAAAACACCUGUUACAUGGCUGAUGGGUCACAGUAUCAUGUGCCCCACUACCUGUACACCAUGUUUUGGUGAGUGGACGGCAAUAACAAGUUAAAAAAAAAAAUAUUUUGUAAACUGAAACCAAAUAAAGGAUAACUGGAUAACUUGUUGGGCUUACAUAUCUACCACUGAUAACCCCGAAGUUCUUCUGAUGCAGGUGACUGAUUGGGGAAGGAACUAAAUUCACAAUUAAUUGUUACACUUAUUCAUUUCACAAAAUUAAAAUUUCUGUGGUAGAGAGAGGUAAGCGUUAUGAGGUUUAUGCAUGAUUAAAAACAAGUUUACACUGAACUAUUUGGUAAACUGCAAAGUUUCUUUUAAAGUUACACCUGCAUUUCAGUCACUACACUACACAAAUGAUUAUUAUUUUGGUUUUAUCCCUGUUUUUCUGGUCUGUAAUAUGUAAAAAAAAAAAAAAUGCAGAAGGAAUACUGACAAAUGUAAUUAAGAAAAGUUACCCAAGGAUGGGAUUUAAGUACAGGAUUAAUUUCAGCUGGUCUGUUGCAACCCUGUGUUUACCCUUAGGUACAUACCUGGAACCAAUCAUGUUGUUGACCCAUGGCCAAAUCUAAAUGAAACAGAUUAAUAUAGUCUGCCCAAGGGUCACAGAUAGAUAGACCAGGGGUUGCACUACCAGCUUGUCAGCACUGUUCAUAGAAAUUUUACAGAUUCAUGGGUUUUACACCUGGUUUCCGUUAUAUUCCCUUGCUUUUUGCCUUUGAGCCUGGUCAUGGAGCCUGAUUCUGGCUAUAUGAACAGAUAAGGGUAUAAAAGACAUCUCUUUGUAUAAGAUAGAUACUCCUCUGAAACCAAGUUAUUGUACGCAGAUCUGAGUGGUGGUCCACAUUCUGAAGCAUGUUCUAUGCGACUGAGGUAGGAUCCCUGGAGGUACCUGAUCAUUUUGAAGUUCUGUGACAUCCACCUAUGUAUUUUAUUCUCCUGCUGUACAAAAACCUCAAUAUUUAUUGAUGUCUUAUGUAACACAGGACAAGGAAUAAUCAUUAAGUGAAUAAAUGAAGGUUAUAAAAUGUCACUGUAACAAUCAGUAGUUCUGCUGCCUCUACAUUUUAAAUGGCAUUUUUGCUCUUCCAGUUACACCUUUCCCUUCAUGUUCUUUUGCUUAGUCGUCUGUCACUCCCUGCUGCUGUUAGCUUUCAACAGCACACCACUUCUAAAGUGCUACCUCUAAAGUGCCUAUUUGCUGAAAAAGCAGACAUUCCAAGUUUGUUUGAAGUAUGUUGCUGACUUAGGUCAAUAAGAUGAGAGAAAAGUGCUUAAUUUAGGUAAAUGGAGUUCAGUAAAUCAUUUCACCAAGGGAGACUUUUUUGGGACAGGAGCUUAUUUGGGGUGUCUAAAUAUUUAAAGUCAAAUUAAGACAGAUAGCUGCAUAGUACAUUACAUCAAUAAGAUACAUUAUUUUCCAGAUCAAGUAAAAUUUUAGGCCAAAAUGAAUGUGAGAUGGAAAAAUGCUCAUAUAUUCGUUGUUUUCUUAUCUGCCAGAUUUUUAAACUACCUCUAGAAAAGGGGUUAUUUAAGAAUCAGGAAAGCCAUCAGAGACUGCUAAUAUGUUAAAGACAUGGAACUGUGAAACCUCGAAUGAUAAAAG